UUAAGUUAAUAAGGGCGCACGGUGGAUGCCUUGGCACUAGGAGCCGACGAAGGACGUGACAAACGACGAUAUGCCUUGGGUAGCUGUAAGUAAGCGAUGAUCCAGGGAUUUCCGAAUGGGGGAACCCAACAGGUAAUACCUGUUACCUACAUCUGUUAAGGAUGUGAGGAGGAAGACGCAGUGAACUGAAACAUCUAAGUAGCUGCAGGAAGAGAAAGCAAAAGCGAUUGCCUUAGUAGCGGCGAGCGAAACGGCAGAAGGGCAAACCGAAGAGUUUACUCUUCGGGGUUGUAGGACUGCAAUGUGGACUCAAAGAUUAUAGAAGAAUGAUUUGGGAAGAUCAGCCAAAGAGAGUAAUAGCCUCGUAUUUAAAAUAGUCUUUGUACUUAGCAGUAUCCUGAGUACGGCGGGUCACGUGAAAUCCCGUCGGAAUCUGGGAGGACCAUCUCCCAACCCUAAAUACUCCCUAGUGACCGAUAGUGAACCAGUACCGUGAGGGAAAGGUGAAAAGCACCCCGGGAGGGGAGUGAAAUAGAACCUGAAACCGUGUGCCUACAACAAGUUCGAGCCCGUUAAUGGGUGAGAGCGUGCCUUUUGUAGAAUGAACCGGCGAGUUACGUUAUGAUGCGAGGUUAAGUUGAAGAGACGGAGCCGUAGGGAAACCGAGUCUGAAUAGGGCGCCUUAGUAUCAUGACGUAGACCCGAAACCAUGUGACCUACCCAUGAGCAGGUUGAAGGUGCGGUAAGACGCACUGGAGGACCGAACCAGGGCACGUUGAAAAGUGCUUGGAUGACUUGUGGGUAGCGGAGAAAUUCCAAACGAACUUGGAGAUAGCUGGUUCUCUCCGAAAUAGCUUUAGGGCUAGCGUCGACAUUAGAGAUUCUUGGAGGUAGAGCACUGUUUGGGUGAGGGGUCCAUCCCGGAUUACCAAUCUCAGAUAAACUCCGAAUGCCAAUGAAUUAUGGUCGGCAGUCAGACUGCGAGUGCUAAGAUCCGUAGUCGAAAGGGAAACAGCCCAGACCACCAGCUAAGGUCCCAAAAUAAUUGUUAAGUGGAAAAGGAUGUGGGGUUGCACAGACAACUAGGAUGUUAGCUUAGAAGCAGCUAUUCAUUCAAAGAGUGCGUAAUAGCUCACUAGUCGAGUGACCCUGCGCCGAAAAUGUACCGGGGCUAAAACAAUUUACCGAAGCUGUGGAUACCUUUAUAGGUAUGGUAGGAGAGCGUUCUAUGUGUGAUGAAGGUAUACCGUGAGGAGUGCUGGAACGCAUAGAAGUGAGAAUGCCGGUAUGAGUAGCGAAAGACAGGUGAGAAUCCUGUCCACCGUAAGACUAAGGUUUCCAGGGGAAGGCUCGUCCGCCCUGGGUUAGUCGGGACCUAAGGAGAGACCGAAAGGUGUAUCCGAUGGACAACAGGUUGAUAUUCCUGUACUAGAGUAUGUAGUGAUGGAGGGACGCAGUAGGCUAACUAAAGCAGACGAUUGGAAGAGUCUGUCUAAGCAGUGAGGUGUGAAUUGAGUCAAAUGCUUAAUUCUAUAACAUUGAGCUGUGAUGGGGAGCGAAGUUUAGUAGCGAAGUUAGUGACGUCACACUGCCAAGAAAAGCUUCUAGCGUUUAAACAUACUCUACCCGUACCGCAAACCGACACAGGUAGUCGAGGCGAGUAGCCUCAGGUGAGCGAGAGAACUCUCGUUAAGGAACUCGGCAAAAUGACCCCGUAACUUCGGGAGAAGGGGUGCUGACUUAAAGUCAGCCGCAGUGAAUAGGCCCAAGCAACUGUUUAUCAAAAACACAGCUCUCUGCUAAAUCGUAAGAUGAUGUAUAGGGGGUGACGCCUGCCCGGUGCUGGAAGGUUAAGAGGAGUGCUUAGCGUAAGCGAAGGUAUGAAUUGAAGCCCCAGUAAACGGCGGCCGUAACUAUAACGGUCCUAAGGUAGCGAAAUUCCUUGUCGGGUAAGUUCCGACCCGCACGAAAGGCGUAAUGAUUUGGGCACUGUCUCAACGAGAGACUCGGUGAAAUUUUAGUACCUGUGAAGAUGCAGGUUACCCGCGACAGGACGGAAAGACCCCAUGGAGCUUUACUGCAGUUUGAUAUUGAGUGUCUGUACCACAUGUACAGGAUAGGUAGGAGUCUAAGAGAUCGGGACGCCAGUUUCGAAGGAGACGCUGUUGGGAUACUACCCUUGUGUUAUGGCCACUCUAACGCCGAUAGGUGAUCCCUAUCGGAGACAGUGUCUGACGGGCAGUUUGACUGGGGCGGUCGCCUCCUAAAAGGUAACGGAGGCGCCCAAAGGUUCCCUCAGAAUGGUUGGAAAUCAUUCGCAGAGUGUAAAGGUAUAAGGGAGCUUGACUGCGAGAGCUACAACUCGAGCAGGGACGAAAGUCGGGCUUAGUGAUCCGGUGGUUCCGUAUGGAAGGGCCAUCGCUCAACGGAUAAAAGCUACCCUGGGGAUAACAGGCUUAUCUCCCCCAAGAGUUCACAUCGACGGGGAGGUUUGGCACCUCGAUGUCGGCUCGUCGCAUCCUGGGGCUGUAGUCGGUCCCAAGGGUUGGGCUGCUCGCCCAUUAAAGCGGCACGCGAGCUGGGUUCAGAACGUCGUGAGACAGUUCGGUCCCUAUCCGUCGCGGGCGUAGGAAAUUUGAGAGGAUCUGCUCCUAGUACGAGAGGACCAGAGUGGACUUACCGCUGGUGUACCAGUUGUCUUGCCAAAGGCAUCGCUGGGUAGCUAUGUAGGGAAGGGAUAAACGCUGAAAGCAUCUAAGUGUGAAACCCACCUCAAGAUGAGAUUUCCCAUGAUUAUAUAUCAGUAAGAGCCCUGAGAGAUGAUCAGGUAGAUAGGUUAGAAGUGGAAGUGUGGCGACACAUGUAGCGGACUAAUACUAAUAGCUCGAGGACUUAUCCAA
RNAcentral lists this ribosomal RNA (2900 nucleotides) under Streptococcus pneumoniae. Its description in RNAcentral is "bacterial LSU rRNA". It matches the Rfam family "Bacterial large subunit ribosomal RNA". Lineage: Bacteria; Bacillati; Bacillota; Bacilli; Lactobacillales; Streptococcaceae. The record is from RNAcentral.